AAAACCUAAACCUAUCGCCCGCUCCCUCGCGCCCCUGUUGCUCCCUCCUCGAUCCCGAUCUGGAUCGAGGGGAUGAGGAGCUCCUGCCUCCCCGACGGCCAGCCUCCUCCUCGCCCCGCCGCUGCGUCCGGCGCCACCACGGCCUCUGGAGCCAGGGAAGCCAUGGCCUGAGCUCGGCCUCGAGGUCCCCGCCGCUGUCUCCUGCAGCUUCUACCCCGCCGCCUCACCGCCCGAGCUCGCCGUCGCACCAACCUCGGCGCCGCGCCGCCGCCGGCUCUGGCGCGGAUCUGGGCAUGGCAGCGCAAAGUGGCCGUUUCUCUGGCUCGAUCUGCUGCUACGGUGUCCAGGCGGCCGAAAGGAGAUGGUCGGUGGUUGGAGGGGCUGUAGGCGCGCUGGUCUUACACGGUGAGGGCGGAGCACCCAGCCCGUAGGCUCAUCCCCUUCUUCGAUCCACUCUGGCGGCGGCCAUCGUUGUCAAGGCAUCGGUUCAUGUGGUUUUCUGCUGCUGGCAUAUGAAAGAGAUGCAGACGAGAGGAAGAGAGCCUCCCCCAAGCUCUGUCUAGGCGAUGCACGGGCGACGGCCACCCUUCCUGUUAUUGCCUCCAUGGCUGGCUGCUCAUCCCCAGGAACCUCCUCCCCUCUCACGUGCGCCACACUCUGGGAUUAAGUUGGAACACAGGUAUCUAGGGCAGGGCGUGGUCACAUUGCAGGCAGCGAGGAGCAGCGCAAAGUUGUCUUGGCUGUGCCCUGCAUCGAGGAGGAACACAGGUUGAACAAAUCCGACAUCUGUAAAUCAUCGAUGUUUUUCUGGAAGUAGUACAGUAGGUUUAAGAUUGGGCGAUGAUUCGCUCAUUCGACUGCCAGGAUGGAGAGGAGAAAACUGAAAAGGAUGUUGAUAUGAGGAAUCCAAGGAAGUGGAAGAGGAAGAAAGUUCUGAUGAUGGUGAUAAUUAGAAUAUCAAGUUUGACGACGAUGAUGAUUGGAACCAAGAGGAGGAACUGCCGCUAAAACCCACCAAAGAAUUAGCAAGAAAAUUGAUGGUGGGAGCUAGCAAUGCCGGCAAUGCCUCCUUUAGGAUUACAAAAUCGUUAAUCCUAUCUUCGCUUGCAUGUGACUGAUGGUGAUGCUACACAAGUUCUGAAGGCAGUGCCCUCCCCAGCAGGAGAUCUUGCUGGUUCUGCAUGGCACAACUGGAUUAAAUAUGCUACAGCAAGCGAAGGAGUUCAACGAUGUUGUUGGAAUCAAAGGAUUCAUCCUAACGAAAUUAGACAGGACUGCUCAUGUUGGCUGUGUGGUGAGUGUUAAUAGACGAACUUGGAGUUCCAGCCAAGUUUGUUGGCAUCGGCGAAGGGGUGGAGAUCUCCAACCUUUUGAUGCAGAAGCAUUUGUUGAAGCCAUUUCCCCAUAAAUUUGACCCAGUUAUUAACGUUUCUCAUGUAACAAGAUUUUGGCUAACAUGCUACUCCCUCCGUUUCUAAAUAUAUGUCUUUUUAGGAAUUCUAAUAUGGACUACAUACGAAGAAAAAUGAGUGAAUCUACACUCUAGAAUAUGUCUACAUUCAUCCGUAUGUAGUCCAUAUUCAAAUCACUAAAAAGACCUAUGUUUAGGAAUGGAGGGAGUAGAACUUGGUAGAAGCAAUUAUUUCAACAAUUACAGUUUUUUUGGUUCAGUCGUCGACUCAUCUGCCUGACUUGUUUCUGUCGUUGAUCCUAACUAUUCAUACAGAAACAGAAGAAAGUAUUUGUGAUAUUAUAUGUUUCUUGUGAUUAAGCUCAAGGCACGUUGCAGAUACAUUGAGCAAGAGUACUAACAGAGAAGAGGAAUUUUUCUUUUCAGACUAGCAUGAUA
This is an RNA transcript of Triticum aestivum (bread wheat), 1849 nucleotides long. It is a transcript of the gene named cell division protein FtsY homolog, chloroplastic-like, with no coding region annotated. NCBI's taxonomy places the organism in Eukaryota, Viridiplantae, Streptophyta, Magnoliopsida, Poales, Poaceae. The transcript has 11 exons. The record is from RefSeq and is a predicted model, not a curated record.